This 127-nucleotide small RNA is filed under the name Marmota monax (woodchuck). The record is from RNAcentral. Lineage: Eukaryota; Metazoa; Chordata; Mammalia; Rodentia; Sciuridae.
GCCAGGCACAGUGGUGCACGCCUGUAAUCCCAGUAGUUUAGGAAGCUGAGACAGAAGGAUCACCGGAGUUCAAAGCCAGCCUCAGCAAUGGGGAGGCCCUAAGCAACUCAGUGAGACCCUGUCUCUA